GAUGUACUGAUUAAUAAUGGAGAUUCCUGGUUUGCAUGUAGGGAAAAAGAAGAACAUGUAAGGAACCCAAAAAAUCAAAGCAAGAAUAUCCAAAGACACAAUUUUCCUUUUUCAAAAAUUUGCCUAAGGUUUGUUUUGCAGGGAAAUGGACACCAUCUAGUUAAAGCUCUAUAAGCUUGAAGAUUCAGCAUACGUGCUAGCAAAGCAAGCGCCGAGACUAAAUUUUGAAGACUGAGCUGGAAAGACGAGCUUAUCUUCCGUUAUGAUUUUGUCAUGGCACCCACCACCGACCUCUUGGCGCUUCCGCAAGUUAGGAGUCUUCCCAGCUCAGCGUGCACACAAGUCACCCGGCAGGCCGCAGCCCUCCUCCGGCCCAAGGUUCACCGGAGCGGGUGUGCAGCGGGGCCGGGGUCUGCCUUCCCGGGCAUGCGGCAGUCUGCGGUGUGAGACUUCCUCCAGGACUGGCCCCAGCUCCGUACUCUCCUCACUCUAAAACCUCUCCUGAGGCGUCUUCAUUGUGACCACACUGAGGACUCUCAGGUUGUCAUUUCUAGCCCUGGUCGCUCUCUCGAGCUCCAGGAAGACAGCCGUCUGCUCGACAUCUCCACUGCGUGUCUCCAAGGCACAUCCAGCUGGCCCUCUUCCAGGUUUUCCUCUGUUGGAAAAUGACGCCACCCCUCACCCAGUUCUGUGACCCGGGAACUUGGUCC
Bos taurus (domestic cattle) is the source of this 710-nucleotide long non-coding RNA. The record is from Ensembl. Lineage: Eukaryota; Metazoa; Chordata; Mammalia; Artiodactyla; Bovidae.